AUCUAGCCGACGAGUCCCAGCUAGGACGAAAUGCGCGUUAUCCUGGAU
This 48-nucleotide non-coding RNA is filed under the name Trichobilharzia regenti. Lineage: Eukaryota; Metazoa; Platyhelminthes; Trematoda; Strigeidida; Schistosomatidae. The record is from RNAcentral.